RNAcentral lists this ribosomal RNA (497 nucleotides) under uncultured bacterium. RNAcentral's name for it is "partial 16S ribosomal RNA". It matches the Rfam family "Bacterial small subunit ribosomal RNA", at positions 28 to 507 of the family's 1533-position model. The record is from RNAcentral.
GAUGAACGCUGGCGGCGUGCCUAAUACAUGCAAGUCGAGCGAACGGACGAGAAGCUUGCUUCUCUGAUGUUAGCGGCGGACGGGUGAGUAACACGUGGAUAACCUACCUAUAAGACUGGGAUAACUUCGGGAAACCGUAGCUAAUACCGGAUAAUAUUUUGAACCGCAUGGUUCAAAAGUGAAAGACGGUCUUGCUGUCCCUUAUAGAUGAAUCCGCGCUGCAUUAGCCAGUUGGUAAGGUAACGGCUUACCAAGGCAACGAUGCAUAGCCGACCUGAGAGGGUGAUCGGCCACACUGGAACUGAGACACGGUCCAGACUCCUACGGGAGGCAGCAGUAGGGAAUCUUCCGCAAUGGGCGAAAGCCUGACGGAGCAACGCCGCGUGAGGGAUGAAGGUCUUCGGAUCGUAAAACUCUGUUAUUAGGGAAGAACAUAUGUGUAAGUAACUGUGCACAUCGUGACGGUACCUAAUCAGAAAGCCACGGCUAACUACGUG